UAAUUAAUCCAACUUAGACUUUAAAAUUACCCUGAGUUGUGGUCUCUUAUCAAUAUUGUUUUGUUCUCUAGGCUAAUAGGAGAAGCUCAUAGUCGUCCAAAAACAUUGACUGGACAUUUAAAGAAAAAAAAAACACAGAAGGACGAAGAAGAAGAAGAAGCAAGCUCCGAGUAGAAGGUUUACAAGAUGGGAAAAGUAAUUUGCCAUCAAUUAUGUGAAGGCAGCGAUGGUUUCAAUUUGAAGGGACUUAUCAUGGCAUUCAUCAUUGCUCUGGCUAUCAUGGCCACCUGUUUCCCAUCUUCACGACGCCGUUUUGUGAUCCGUCCAAUCAUGUAUGUCGCAUAGUCUUGCGUUUUGUAGGGCAGCAUAUCGUGCCGCUGUAUUUGUUUUAUUUAUUUUUUUUUUUUUCCGUUGAAUUUGACGACUUCAGUUCAUGCUGUUGUUAAUCCAACAAAGUAUUUCUAGGGCGUUUAGAUGUGCCAGUAGUUUUGCCAUCAAGGCUUUCUAUCCUACACUUUAAUGCAUACAUAGAAGCAGACGAGUUUCCUGAAUUGUGUGUGUCAACCUGUUACGUAAUAUAAUGCAUACAGUCUCUUUUCCUUCCC
Molecule: long non-coding RNA, 605 nt
Organism: Manihot esculenta (cassava)
Lineage: Eukaryota; Viridiplantae; Streptophyta; Magnoliopsida; Malpighiales; Euphorbiaceae
Exons: 2
Source: RefSeq, a predicted model, not a curated record